Long non-coding RNA from Oncorhynchus tshawytscha (Chinook salmon), 1012 nucleotides. The record is from Ensembl. NCBI's taxonomy places the organism in Eukaryota, Metazoa, Chordata, Actinopteri, Salmoniformes, Salmonidae.
GUUUAUUUUCUCUCUAUCACAUUUACAUCACCUGCCUUAUUUUCAACAUCAUAUUCAUCAUGACAUCAAGUCAUCCAUCCACUUGAUGUCACAGACAGACAUAAGCAAUAAAACAAAUCUCUCUUCUACACAUAAUGAGAGAACAUCAAUCAAUCAAUUAACACGACCAAGAUAAUAAAGAAACACAAAAAAGGUCAGUUUCACUCCAGCAACAAUAAGGCUCGGUAAAGACAUGGCACAGCAGGAGAAAAACAUUUAGACAGUUAAAAAAUAAAGACAAACAGAUCAAAGACAGGUAAAACAGUGACAGAGACAAACAGAUCAAAGACAGGUAAAACAGUGACAGAGACAAACAGAUCAAAGACAGGUAAAACAGUGACAAAGACAAACAGAUCAAAGACAGGUAAAACAGCUAAAACAGUGACAAAGACAAACAGAUCAAAGACAGGUAAAACAGUGAGAAAGACAAACAGAUCAAAGACAGGUAAAACAGUCACAGAAAGACAAACAGAUCAAAGACAGGUAAAACAGUGACAAAGAUAAACAGAUCAAAGACAGGUAAAACAGUGAGAAAGACAAACAGAUCAAAGACAGGUAAAACAGUGACAGAAAGACAAACAGAUCAAAGACAGGUAAAACAGUGACAGAGACAAACAGAUCAAAGACAGGUAAAACAGUGACAAAGACAAACAGAUCAAAGACAGGUAAAACAGUGACAAAGACAAACAGAUCAAAGACAGGUAAAACAGGUAAAACAGUGACAAAGACAAACAGAUCAAAGACAGGUAAAACAGUGACAAAGACAAACAGAUCAAAGACAGGUAAAACAGGUAAAACAGUGACAAAGACAAACAGAUCAAAGACAGGUAAAACAGUGACAAAGACAAACAGAUCAAAGACAGGUAAAACAGUCACAGAAAGACAAACAGAUCAAAGACAGGUAAAACAGUGACAAAGACAAACAGAUCAAAGACAGGUAAAACAGUGACAAAGACAAACAGAUCAAAGACAG